GCAGUCGAACGAUGAUGCCCAGCUUGCUGGGUGGAUUAGUGGCGAACGGGUGAGUAACACGUGAGUAACCUGCCCCUGACUCUGGGAUAAGCGUUGGAAACGACGUCUAAUACUGGAUAUGACUGCCGGCCGCAUGGUCUGGUGGUGGAAAGAUUUUUUGGUUGGGGAUGGACUCGCGGCCUAUCAGCUUGUUGGUGAGGUAAUGGCUCACCAAGGCGACGACGGGUAGCCGGCCUGAGAGGGUGACCGGCCACACUGGGACUGAGACACGGCCCAGACUCCUACGGGAGGCAGCAGUGGGGAAUAUUGCACAAUGGGCGAAAGCCUGAUGCAGCAACGCCGCGUGAGGGAUGACGGCCUUCGGGUUGUAAACCUCUUUUAGUAGGGAAGAAGCGAAAGUGACGGUACCUGCAGAAAAAGCACCGGCUAACUACGUGCCAGCAGCCGCGGUAAUACGUAGGGUGCAAGCGUUGUCCGGAAUUAUUGGGCGUAAAGAGCUCGUAGGCGGUUUGUCGCGUCUGCUGUGAAAUCCCGAGGCUCAACCUCGGGCUUGCAGUGGGUACGGGCAGACUAGAGUGCGGUAGGGGAGAUUGGAAUUCCUGGUGUAGCGGUGGAAUGCGCAGAUAUCAGGAGGAACACCGAUGGCGAAGGCAGAUCUCUGGGCCGUAACUGACGCUGAGGAGCGAAAGCGUGGGGAGCGAACAGGAUUAGAUACCCUGGUAGUCCACGCCGUAAACGUUGGGCGCUAGAUGUA
Molecule: ribosomal RNA, 754 nt
Filed under: Curtobacterium citreum
Lineage: Bacteria; Bacillati; Actinomycetota; Actinomycetes; Micrococcales; Microbacteriaceae
Description: bacterial SSU rRNA
Rfam family: Bacterial small subunit ribosomal RNA
Source: RNAcentral